Long non-coding RNA from Cynoglossus semilaevis (tongue sole), 448 nucleotides. RefSeq lists it as uncharacterized. The record is from RefSeq and is a predicted model, not a curated record. The transcript has 3 exons. Lineage: Eukaryota; Metazoa; Chordata; Actinopteri; Pleuronectiformes; Cynoglossidae.
GUUUAAAGGAGAACUUCUGGGCUGGUCUGAGUCGGAGAUGUCCGUACCACUGCUCCAGCCUCCUCAGGGCUGUGAGGAACCAGGCAGAGGGAGGCAGGUCACCCAGCAGCAAAUCCUCAGCCACACUGUAAACAGUCACAGGAUGCAGAGGGGACUGGGAUGAAAGGCCUGAUUGGAGAGCUGGGGCCAGUCUCCACCAGUCUUACUGGGAUUAAGUGGCUGCAGUGUGGAGGAAGGUGGAGGCAUCGCAGAGUCACACUGACAACCAUCAACAUGUGGAGAUGGAAGGAUAAAUUCUGUUGGAGUAAUAACGGCUUCUGGGCCUUUGGGAGGGAUUAGAGAGAAGGCUGCCGUGUGGCGGGGGCCGGGCCAGGCCGCAACAACGCCGGUGUCGCCAGAGUGAUCUGCCAGGUACGCCACGGUGGAUUAGAGCUACUAGGGCUGGCAC